UACGUAGGGUGCGAGCGUUAAUCGGAAUUACUGGGCGUAAAGCGUGCGCAGGCGGUUCGUUGUGUCUGGGGUGAAAGCCCCGGGCUUAACCUGGGAAUGGCCAUGGAAACUGGCGAGCUGGAGUGUGGCAGAGGGGGGUGGAAUUCCGCGUGUAGCAGUGAAAUGCGUAGAGAUGCGGAGGAACACCGAUGGCGAAGGCAGCCCCCUGGGCUAACACUGACGCUCAGGCACGAAAGCGUGGGGAGCAAACAGG
RNAcentral lists this ribosomal RNA (253 nucleotides) under uncultured bacterium. RNAcentral describes it as "partial 16S ribosomal RNA". It matches the Rfam family "Bacterial small subunit ribosomal RNA", at positions 524 to 776 of the family's 1533-position model. The record is from RNAcentral.